This 762-nucleotide ribosomal RNA is filed under the name uncultured Peptostreptococcus sp. RNAcentral describes it as "bacterial SSU rRNA". It matches the Rfam family "Bacterial small subunit ribosomal RNA", at positions 28 to 776 of the family's 1533-position model. The record is from RNAcentral. Lineage: Bacteria; Bacillati; Bacillota; Clostridia; Peptostreptococcales; Peptostreptococcaceae.
GACGAACGCUGGCGGCGUGCUUAACACAUGCAAGUCGAGCGAGGGUUUGCUCAGUAUUGAGUAUUCUAAGACUAGAAUGUUCAAUUCUGAGCAAAACCAAGCGGCGGACGGGUGAGUAACGCGUGGGUAACCUGCCCUAUACACAUGGAUAACAUACUGAAAAGUUUACUAAUACAUGAUAAUAUAUAUUUGCGGCAUCGCAGAUAUAUCAAAGUGUUAGCGGUAUAGGAUGGACCCGCGUCUGAUUAGCUAGUUGGUGAGAUAACUGCCCACCAAGGCGACGAUCAGUAGCCGACCUGAGAGGGUGAUCGGCCACAUUGGAACUGAGACACGGUCCAAACUCCUACGGGAGGCAGCAGUGGGGAAUAUUGCACAAUGGGCGAAAGCCUGAUGCAGCAACGCCGCGUGAACGAUGAAGGUCUUCGGAUCGUAAAGUUCUGUUGCAGGGGAAGAUAAUGACGGUACCCUGUGAGGAAGCCCCGGCUAACUACGUGCCAGCAGCCGCGGUAAUACGUAGGGGGCUAGCGUUAUCCGGAUUUACUGGGCGUAAAGGGUGCGUAGGUGGUCCUUCAAGUCGGUGGUUAAAGGCUACGGCUCAACCGUAGUAAGCCGCCGAAACUGGAGGACUUGAGUGCAGGAGAGGAAAGUGGAAUUCCCAGUGUAGCGGUGAAAUGCGUAGAUAUUGGGAGGAACACCAGUAGCGAAGGCGGCUUUCUGGACUGCAACUGACACUGAGGCACGAAAGCGUGGGUAGCAAACAGG